Molecule: ribosomal RNA, 687 nt
Filed under: uncultured Pseudomonadota bacterium
Lineage: Bacteria; Pseudomonadati; Pseudomonadota
Description: uncultured proteobacterium partial 16S ribosomal RNA
Rfam family: Bacterial small subunit ribosomal RNA
Source: RNAcentral
UGGCGGCCGCGGGAAUUCGAUUAGAGUUUGAUCAUGGCUCAGAUUGAACGCUGGCGGCAUGCUUUACACAUGCAAGUCGAACGGUAACAGGCCGCAAGGUGCUGACGAGUGGCGAACGGGUGAGUAAUGCAUCGGAACGUGCCCAGUCGUGGGGGAUAACGCAGCGAAAGCUGUGCUAAUACCGCAUACGACCUGAGGGUGAAAGCGGGGGAUCGCAAGACCUCGCGCAAUUGGAGCGGCCGAUAUCAGAUUAGGUAGUUGGUGAGGUAAAGGCUCACCAAGCCGACGAUCUGUAGCUGGUCUGAGAGGACGACCAGCCACACUGGAACUGAGACACGGUCCAGACUCCUACGGGAGGCAGCAGUGGGGAAUUUUGGACAAUGGGCGCAAGCCUGAUCCAGCCAUUCCGCGUGAGUGAAGAAGGCCUUCGGGUUGUAAAGCUCUUUCGCAAGGGAAGAAAACUUAGGCUCUAACAUAGCCUGAGGUUGACGGUACCUUGAUAAGAAGCACCGGCUAACUACGUGCCAGCAGCCGCGGUAAUACGUAGGGUGCGAGCGUUAAUCGGAAUUACUGGGCGUAAAGCGUGCGCAGGCGGUUUUGUAAGUCAGAUGUGAAAUCCCCGAGCUCAACUUGGGAACUGCGUUUGAAACUACAAGACUAGAAUAUGUCAGAGGGGGGUAGAAUUCC